AUUGAACGCUGGCGGCAGGCCUAACACAUGCAAGUCGAGCGGAUGAAGGGAGCUUGCUCCCUGAUUUAGCGGCGGACGGGUGAGUAAUGCCUAGGAAUCUGCCUGGUAGUGGGGGAUAACGUUCCGAAAGGAACGCUAAUACCGCAUACGUCCUACGGGAGAAAGCAGGGGACCUUCGGGCCUUGCGCUAUCAGAUGAGCCUAGGUCGGAUUAGCUAGUUGGUGAGGUAAUGGCUCACCAAGGCGACGAUCCGUAACUGGUCUGAGAGGAUGAUCAGUCACACUGGAACUGAGACACGGUCCAGACUCCUACGGGAGGCAGCAGUGGGGAAUAUUGGACAAUGGGCGAAAGCCUGAUCCAGCCAUGCCGCGUGUGUGAAGAAGGUCUUCGGAUUGUAAAGCACUUUAAGUUGGGAGGAAGGGCAGUAAGCUAAUACCUUGCUGUUUUGACGUUACCGACAGAAUAAGCACCGGCUAACUUCGUGCCAGCCGCCGCCGUAACAC
Molecule: ribosomal RNA, 503 nt
Filed under: uncultured bacterium
Lineage: Bacteria
Description: bacterial SSU rRNA
Rfam family: Bacterial small subunit ribosomal RNA
Source: RNAcentral